CUCCUACGGGAAGCAGCAGUGGGGAAUUUUGGGACUAAUGGGGGCAACCCGUGAUCCAGCGACGCCGCGUGAAGGAUGAAGGCCUUCGGGUUGUAAACGUUCUUUUAGAGGGGUAUGGAAUGCCUGCGUGAAUAACGCAGGGUGACAGUACUCUUUGAAUAAGCCACGGCUAACUACGUGCCAGCCGCCGCGGUAAUAC
Molecule: ribosomal RNA, 199 nt
Filed under: uncultured bacterium
Lineage: Bacteria
Description: partial 16S ribosomal RNA
Rfam family: Bacterial small subunit ribosomal RNA
Source: RNAcentral